This 760-nucleotide ribosomal RNA is filed under the name Neocatenulostroma microsporum. Its description in RNAcentral is "eukaryotic LSU rRNA". It matches the Rfam family "Eukaryotic large subunit ribosomal RNA", at positions 77 to 869 of the family's 3401-position model. Lineage: Eukaryota; Fungi; Ascomycota; Dothideomycetes; Mycosphaerellales; Teratosphaeriaceae. The record is from RNAcentral.
GCCCUAGUAACGGCGAGUGAAGCGGCAACAGCUCAAAUUUGAAAUCUGGCGCAAGCCCGAGUUGUAAUUUGUAGAGGAUGCUUCUGGGCAGCGGCCGGUCUAAGUUCCUUGGAACAGGACGUCACAGAGGGUGAGAAUCCCGUAUGUGAUCGGUUGGCACCCGCUACGUAGCUCCUUCGACGAGUCGAGUUGUUUGGGAAUGCAGCUCUAAAUGGGAGGUAAAUGCCUUCUAAAGCUAAAUACCGGCCAGAGACCGAUAGCGCACAAGUAGAGUGAUCGAAAGAUGAAAAGCACUUUGGAAAGAGAGUUAAAAAGCACGUGAAAUUGUUGAAAGGGAAGCGCAUGCAACCAGACUUGUCCGCGGUGUUCCGCCGGUCUUCUGACCGGUCUACUCGCCGCGGGCAGGCCAGCAUCAUCUGGGAGCGCCGGAUAAAGGUAGCGGGAAUGUGGCCCCUCGGGGUGUUAUAGCUCGCUACACAAUACGGCGCCUCCCGGGUGAGGUCCGCGCUUCGGCUAGGAUGCUGGCGUAAUGGUUGUAUGCGGCCCGUCUUGAAACACGGACCAAGGAGUCUACCAUCUAUGCGAGUGUUCGGGUGUCAAACCCCUACGCGCAAUGAAAGUGAACGGAGGUGGGAACCGCAAGGUGCACCAUCGACCGAUCCUGAUGUCUUCGGAUGGAUUUGAGUAAGAGCAUAGCUGGUGGGACCCGAAAGAUGGUGAACUAUGCCUGAAUAGGGUGAAGCCAGAGGAAACUCUGGUG